AAGGCAUCAGUUGUCAGAGCAGGCCAUUUGUGCAGCCAACAUCAAAUUAUCCAGUACUCGCUAUGUUCCAGGCACUCUGCUUUACUUUCAUUGCCUUGUCCUCCAGGAGCUCACAGUCCACUGGGGAAGAGAAGCAGUUAGCAAAGCAUUCUAAUACAAUGUGGAAAGUCGAUAAUAGAGAGAGGAAUAAAGCGUCUUGGCUACAUUAAGAAGGGAAUACUAACCCUGCCUGAGGGAGCCUAGAAGGACUUCACUGAGGAAAUAACAUAUGCAUUAAUCCUUGAAGAAUGAGCAAUAAGUAGCCUACCAGGCAGAUAAUUUCAUUUAAAAAAAAAGAUUUUAUGCAUGGAGAGAGAAACACCAAAAUUAUGAAAAUGCAAGAGAGAAUAGCAUGUCUGGAGACUAAUAUCCUACAAACUUCAUCACAUGGUGAUGUGAAUAGUGAAAGAGAUUAUAGGAUUCUUCAGACUUCUGAUAGUGUCCAGAUUACUUCCAGUUACUUACCUUGGGCCAGAAAAACUGCAAACAAGAUCAGAUGAUCGCUGAAGGUAGAAGAAAUGCCAUACACAUACAAGAUUUGAUAACCUGUAAAAGCUUUCAGAUACAAGUGUGCAUCACCCACAACACUAACUUCAGAUGAGGAGAGCAAACUUCCUAAGAGCUGCUUGUACAUUUUCUCAUUUCUCAUUGUGAAGAAAAAAGUGGAAGUAGCCAGAGAAACUCAGAGACCUUCAACUGAGAAACUUCUGAAGCUCAAAGCGAGAAAACUUUUCCUCCUUAUCCAUCCUCAGAUUCUCUACUGAAAUUGACCUUCUACAGGUCCCAGUUUGGAAAAAGACAAAACAAAACAAAACAAAACAAAACAAAAUUGAAAAAAAAAACUAGCAUCUUUUGCCAUGAGUCCCUAGAUGGCUGCUAAAUUCAACUGGAUCCCAUGGCACCAUGAAAAUGUACUCAAACAUCUCUAUUAUGAACUUGGAAAAAUAAACAAUAUUAGAAGACUUGAAUUUUUGUGCCACCUCUGUCAUAAAUCAUGUUGUACCCAGCAAACCACCUAAAACUUUUCUGAUAUGCAAAAGGGAAAUAAUAAUAUUUACUCUGCCAAUAUGGAAAGACUAUUGGGAUGAGAUUAUGAAAUACUCUGUGAAAAUCUUGGUAAUGAAGGCAAAAUUAUUUAAUUUAAUUUAAGGCAGCAAGCAUCUACCAAGCACCUAUCAGCUCUCAUCUACAAUGCACGGAAGAGACGAAAUGGACAUGAACAUGAUGAAUCUUACCCUUGUGGAAAUUUUGAAGAAUGAAUUGAAUGAAAGUAGAAUAUAGUCUGAAGUUCAAUCUAGAGAUUCAUUUGGUUCAUAGGGAAAAAACAAUGAGAAAAGAAAUGAGGGAAGAAAAUGGCACUGUGUGUUUCUGGAACUUGAAAUGAUGCAGCAUUGCAGUUUGAAGAUAGAUUGGUAGGCAGAAGCAAAUAUGACUGAGUUUAUGGUACAUAAAGAAACAUUGUAAAAGAUUGUCAUUCAUUUAUUCAUUCAACAAAUAUUUAUUGAGUGCCUGUCAUGACCCCGGACUAUACUAGUUGGUCAAUAAACAAAGGUGAAAUAAAAAUAUCUACUCCUCUACCUCCUUGUAUUCAUAUCUAGGGUUGGAGACCUUGGAUCUGAUUAAAUAGGAAAUUCGAAAGAUGUAGUUCAGGCCAGAUGUGGUGACUCAUGCCUGUAAUCCCAGAACUUUGGGAGGUCAAGGCAGGAGGAUUGCUUGAGCCCAGGAGAUUGAAACUACCCUGGGC
RNAcentral lists this long non-coding RNA (1783 nucleotides) under Homo sapiens (human). RNAcentral's name for it is "HSALNT0127659". The record is from RNAcentral. Lineage: Eukaryota; Metazoa; Chordata; Mammalia; Primates; Hominidae.